AAACCCUGAUCCAGCCAUGCCGCGUGAGUGAUGAAGGCCUUAGGGUUGUAAAGCUCUUUUGUCAGGGAAGAUGAUGACGGUACCUGAAGAAUAAGCACCGGCUAACUACGUGCCAGCAGCCGCGGUAAU
RNAcentral lists this ribosomal RNA (129 nucleotides) under uncultured Alphaproteobacteria bacterium. RNAcentral describes it as "partial 16S ribosomal RNA". It matches the Rfam family "Bacterial small subunit ribosomal RNA", at positions 378 to 524 of the family's 1533-position model. Lineage: Bacteria; Pseudomonadati; Pseudomonadota; Alphaproteobacteria. The record is from RNAcentral.